This 56-nucleotide transfer RNA is filed under the name Dictyocaulus eckerti (red deer lungworm). RNAcentral describes it as "tRNA-Leu". The record is from RNAcentral. Lineage: Eukaryota; Metazoa; Nematoda; Chromadorea; Rhabditida; Metastrongylidae.
GUUAACGUAGCAUAUAAAAUGUGUUUGUUUUAAGUGCAAAAGAAUGUUUGUUAAUU